CAGGCUUAACACAUGCAAGUCGAGGGGCAUCAGGAAGAAAGCUUGCUUUCUUUGCUGGCGACCGGCGCACGGGUGAGUAACACGUAUCCAACCUGCCCUUUACUCGGGGAUAGCCUUUCGAAAGAAAGAUUAAUACCCGAUGGCAUAAUGAUUCCGCAUGGUUUCAUUAUUAAAGGAUUCCGGUAAAGGAUGGGGAUGCGUUCCAUUAGGUUGUUGGUGAGGUAACGGCUCACCAAGCCUUCGAUGGAUAGGGGUUCUGAGAGGAAGGUCCCCCACAUUGGAACUGAGAUACGGUCCAAACUCCUACGGGAGGCAGCAGUGAGGAAUAUUGGUCAAUGGGCGCUAGCCUGAACCAGCCAAGUAGCGUGAAGGAUGAAGGCUCUAUGGGUCGUAAACUUCUUUUAUAUAAGAAUAAAGUGCAGUAUGUAUACUGUUUUGUAUGUAUUAUAUGAAUAAGGAUCGGCUAACUCCGUGCCAGCAGCCGCGGUAAUACGGAGGAUCCGAGCGUUAUCCGGAUUUAUUGGGUUUAAAGGGAGCGUAGGUGGACUGGUAAGUCAGUUGUGAAAGUUUGCGGCUCAACCGUAAAAUUGCAGUUGAUACUGUCAGUCUUGAGUACAGUAGAGGUGGGCGGAAUUCGGGGUGUAGCGGUGAAAUGCUUAGAUAUCACGAAGAACUCCGAUUGCGAAGGCAGCUCACUGGACUGCAACUGACACUGAUGCCUCGAAAAGUGUGGGUAUCAAACAGGAUUAGAUACCCUGGUAGUCCACACAGUAAACGAUGAAUACUCGCUGUUUGCGAUAUACAGUAAGCGUACAAGCGAAAGCAUUAAGUAUUCCACCUGGGGAGUACGCCGGCAACGGUGAAACUCAAAGGAAUUGACGGGGGCCCGCACAAGCGGAGGAACAUGUGGUUUAAUUCGAUGAUACGCGAGGAACUUUACCCGGGCUUAAAUUGCAGUGGAAUGAUGUGGAAACAUGUCAGUGAGCAAUCACCGCUGUGAAGGUGCUGCAUGGUUGUCGUCAGCUCGUGCCGUGAGGUGUCGGCUUAAGUGCCAUAACGAGCGCAACCCUUAUCUUUAGUUACUAACAGGUCAUGCUGAGGACUCUAGAGAGACUGCCGUCGUAAGAUGUGAGGAAGGUGGGGAUGACGUCAAAUCAGCACGGCCCUUACGUCCGGGGCUACACACGUGUUACAAUGGGGGGUACAGAAGGCAGCUAGCGGGUGACCGUAUGCUAAUCCCAAAAGCCUCUCUCAGUUAGGAUAGAAGUCUGCAACACGACUUCGUGAAGCUGGAUUCGAUAGUAAUCGAGCAUCAGACACGGCGCGGUGAAUACGUUCCCGGGCCUUGUACACACCGCCCGUCAAGCCAUGGGAGCCGGGGGUACCUGAAGUACGUAACCGCAAGGAUCGUCCUAGGGUAAAACUGGUGACUGGGGCUAAGU
RNAcentral lists this ribosomal RNA (1442 nucleotides) under uncultured organism. RNAcentral's name for it is "16S ribosomal RNA". It matches the Rfam family "Bacterial small subunit ribosomal RNA". The record is from RNAcentral.